Molecule: ribosomal RNA, 496 nt
Filed under: uncultured bacterium
Lineage: Bacteria
Description: partial 16S ribosomal RNA
Rfam family: Bacterial small subunit ribosomal RNA
Source: RNAcentral
AUGAACGCUGGCGGCGUGCCUAAUACAUGCAAGUCGAGCGAACAGACGAGGAGCUUGCUCCUCUGACGUUAGCGGCGGACGGGUGAGUAACACGUGGAUAACCUACCUAUAAGACUGGGAUAACUUCGGGAAACCGGCGCCACCACCGCCCCCCCCCUCCAACCCCCUGCUUCACUAGUGACAGACGCCCUUGCUGUCACUUAUAGACGGAUCCGCGCCGCCUUAGCUAGUUGGUAAGGUAACGGCUUACCAAGGCAACGAUGCGUAGCCGACCUGAGAGGGUGAUCGGCCACACUGGAACUGAGACACGGUCCAGACUCCUACGGGAGGCAGCAGUAGGGAAUCUGCCGCAAUGGGCGAAAGCCUGACGGAGCAACGCCGCGUGAGUGAUGAAGGUCUUCGGAUCGUAAAACUCUGUUAUUAGGGAAGAACAAAUGUGUAAGUAACUAUGCACGUCUUGACGGUACCUAAUCAGAAAGCCACGGCUAACUACGUG